Molecule: RNA transcript, 1316 nt
Organism: Cercocebus atys (sooty mangabey)
Lineage: Eukaryota; Metazoa; Chordata; Mammalia; Primates; Cercopithecidae
Gene name: epithelial membrane protein 2 pseudogene
Exons: 1
Source: RefSeq, a predicted model, not a curated record
AGAGAGCUUCAAAACAGCCUGGUGGCCUCACUUCAUAUCCCAGCCUGUCCAUCUGUCCAGCAGCCAAUGCAGCCAUCAGAACUGGCACAUCCUGCUCUGGGCUUUAAACAUGACCACUUGCCCCCCAUGCCCUGUGAAAAUGUUGGUGCUUUUUGCUUUCAUCAUCACCUUCCACAUCAACUCUGCAGCCUUGCGGGUUCAUCGCCACCAUCAACAAUGCCUGGUAGGUAGGAGAUGAGUUUUUGCAGAUGUCUGGAGAUUAUGUACCAACAACAUGAAUUAUACAGUAAUCAAUGACACGUUUAAAAAGUACUCCAUACUCCAGGUGGUCCAGGCCACCGUGAUCCUCUCCACCAUUCUCUGCUGUGUUGCCUUCUUCAUCUUCAUGCUCCAGCUCUUCCGCCUGAAUCAGGGAGAGAGGUUUGUCCUAACCUCCAUCAUCCAGCUAAUGUCGUGUCUGUGUGUCAUGAAUGCGGCCUCCAUUUAUACAGACAGGCGUGAAGACAUUCACGAGAGAAACAUGGAAUUCUAUUACCUGACCAAAGAAGGCAGCAAUGGCUACUCCUCCAUCCUGGUGUGGGCGGCCUUCACCUGCACCUUCAGCAGCGGCAUGAUGCACCUGAUACUGAGGAAGGGCAAACGGAGUUCCGGAGCUUGGUUGCUUCUGCUGCAGUACAGAAUCCACAUUCAGAUAACCAUUUUGUAUAUAAUCAUUAUUUUUUUGAGGUUUUUCUAGCAAAUGUAUUGUUUCUUUUAAAAGCCAAAAAAAAGAAAAAGAAAAAAUUCAAAAAGGAGAAGAGUUUUUGCAUUCUUGAGUUCAGAGAAUAGACUAUGAAGGCUGGUAUUCAGAACUGCUGUGCACUCAAAAGUCUCAAGACACAAGCAAAGCUCCAGCAAAGCUCAAAUCCAAAAGCGCUUGGAGGGACAUUUCUUAACCAUAGGGUUGUGAAGGGAGGAGAUGAGAGGCUGGGAAAGCCAGGUCUCUGGGGAUGUGCUUCCUAUAGGUUUUAGCUGGCUCAAGCUCCUCCCAAAUCGCUCUGCUAGUGGUAGGUGAAAGGGGGUGAGGUGGGUUGCAGGAGAGGAAUGACAGUUUCCUGAAAGGUUUAGCCCAAGUUCCAAGUGAGAAGCAGGUAUUGUCCCUGACAUUCUGUCUGUAUCCAAACCAGAGCCCAACCAACCCUCCUGUAUAGGGGCGGGUCAGAAAAAGUUUCACCUAAAUUUGCUGACAGUGUCACCUGCUUGCCUUAGGAAUGGCGAUCCUUUACUUGCAUGCCAGAUUUAUACUCACCCUUUGGCAAAACCUACAGUCCCCCCGC